RNAcentral lists this ribosomal RNA (301 nucleotides) under uncultured bacterium. RNAcentral's name for it is "partial 16S ribosomal RNA". It matches the Rfam family "Bacterial small subunit ribosomal RNA", at positions 509 to 807 of the family's 1533-position model. The record is from RNAcentral.
CAGCAGCCGCGGGAAUACGUAGGGUGCAAGCGUUAAUCGGAAUUACUGGGCGUAAAGCGUGCGCAGGCGGUUUGUUAAGACAGAUGUGAAAUCCCCGGGCUCAACCUGGGAACUGCAUUUGUGACUGGCAAGCUAGAGUGUGUCAGAGGAUGGUGGAAUUCCCGGUGUAGCGGUGAAAUGCGUAGAUAUAUGGAGGAACACCGGUGGCGAAAGCGGCUCUCUGGUCUGUAACUGACGCUGAGGCUCGAAAGCGUGGGGAGCGAACAGGAUUAGAUACCCGUGUAGUCCCUGUCUCUUAUAC